Molecule: ribosomal RNA, 413 nt
Filed under: uncultured microorganism
Description: bacterial SSU rRNA
Rfam family: Archaeal small subunit ribosomal RNA
Source: RNAcentral
GCGCACCAGUCGCGAAACCUCCGCAAUACACGAAAGUGUGACGGGGCCAUCCCGAGUGCCGUCCGCUGAGGACGGCUUUCCCCAGUGUACACAGCUGGGGGAAUAAGGAGAGGGCAAGCCUGGUGUCAGCCGCCGCGGUAAUACCAGCUCUCCGAGUGGUGGGGACGCUUAUUGGGGCCUAAAGCAUCCGUAGCCGGCUGGGCAAGUCCUCCGUUAAAUCCAACGAUUCAAUCGUUGGGCUGCGGGGGAUACUGUCCAGCUUGGGGCGGGAGAGGCCGACGGUAUUCCCGGGGUAGGGGUGAAAUCCUAUAAUCCCGGGAGGACCACCAGUGGCGAAGGCUGUCGGCUAGAACGCGCCCGACGGUGAGGGAUGAAAGCUGGGGGAGCGAACCGGGAUUAGGAUACCCCGUAGU